Molecule: unclassified non-coding RNA, 214 nt
Filed under: Hevea brasiliensis (rubber tree)
Lineage: Eukaryota; Viridiplantae; Streptophyta; Magnoliopsida; Malpighiales; Euphorbiaceae
Source: RNAcentral
UGAGCUCAGUGGUCCUGACUCAAGUUGGCUACGAUCUUCCAACAAAUUAUUUGCCUGAAUAACUGCCAUUGAGAAUUCCCCAUUAAUAUGGCGGCCAGAAUCCUUGUACCACAACAGCCCGUCAACCCGACCACUUGCAUCCCCACCUCUACUGGAAUUUUCGCCUUCAACCAAGGGUUUCCAGCAAGGUGAUACAAUCUUCAUCAAAGUUUCA